This 702-nucleotide ribosomal RNA is filed under the name Achromobacter sp. Dx 3-L. RNAcentral describes it as "bacterial SSU rRNA". It matches the Rfam family "Bacterial small subunit ribosomal RNA", at positions 58 to 753 of the family's 1533-position model. Lineage: Bacteria; Pseudomonadati; Pseudomonadota; Betaproteobacteria; Burkholderiales; Alcaligenaceae. The record is from RNAcentral.
CAAGUCGGAACGGCAGCACGGACUUCGGUCUGGUGGCGAGUUGGCGAACGGGUGAGUAAUGUAUCGGAACGUGCCCAGUAGCGGGGGAUAACUACGCGAAAGCGUAGCUAAUACCGCAUACGCCCUACGGGGGAAAGCAGGGGAUCGCAAGACCUUGCACUAUUGGAGCGGCCGAUAUCGGAUUAGCUAGUUGGUGGGGUAACGGCUCACCAAGGCGACGAUCCGUAGCUGGUUUGAGAGGACGACCAGCCACACUGGGACUGAGACACGGCCCAGACUCCUACGGGAGGCAGCAGUGGGGAAUUUUGGACAAUGGGGGAAACCCUGAUCCAGCCAUCCCGCGUGUGCGAUGAAGGCCUUCGGGUUGUAAAGCACUUUUGGCAGGAAAGAAACGUCGCGGGUUAAUACCCCGCGGAACUGACGGUACCUGCAGAAUAAGCACCGGCUAACUACGUGCCAGCAGCCGCGGUAAUACGUAGGGUGCAAGCGUUAAUCGGAAUUACUGGGCGUAAAGCGUGCGCAGGCGGUUCGGAAAGAAAGAUGUGAAAUCCCAGAGCUUAACUUUGGAACUGCAUUUUUAACUACCGGGCUAGAGUGUGUCAGAGGGAGGUGGAAUUCCGCGUGUAGCAGUGAAAUGCGUAGAUAUGCGGAGGAACACCGAUGGCGAAGGCAGCCUCCUGGGAUAACACUGACGCUCAUGCA